GCCGGGCAUGGUGGCGCAUGCCUGUAAUCCCAGCUACUUGGGAGGCUGAGGCAGGAAAAUCGCUUGAACCCAGGAGCGGAGCUUGCAGUGAGCCGAGAUCAUGCCACUGCACUUCAGCCUGGGUGACAGAACGAGACUCUGUCUCAA
This 147-nucleotide signal recognition particle RNA is filed under the name Pan troglodytes (chimpanzee). RNAcentral describes it as "Metazoan signal recognition particle RNA". It matches the Rfam family "Metazoan signal recognition particle RNA". Rfam says of the family: The signal recognition particle (SRP) is a universally conserved ribonucleoprotein. Lineage: Eukaryota; Metazoa; Chordata; Mammalia; Primates; Hominidae. The record is from Rfam by way of RNAcentral.